This 314-nucleotide unclassified non-coding RNA is filed under the name plant metagenome. RNAcentral describes it as "partial contains 5.8S ribosomal RNA, internal transcribed spacer 2, and large subunit ribosomal RNA". The stretch from base 1 to 105 matches the Rfam family "5.8S ribosomal RNA", at positions 50 to 154 of the family's 154-position model. The record is from RNAcentral.
GAAAUGCGAUAAUUAAUGUGAAUUGCAGAAUUCAGUGAAUCAUCGAGUCUUUGAACGCACAUUGCGCCCCCUGGUAUUCCGGGGGGCAUGCCUGUCCGAGCGUCAUUGCUGCCCUCAAGCACGGCUUGUGUGUUGGGCUUCCGUCCCUGGCAACGGGGACGGGCCCAAAAGGCAGUGGCGGCACCAUGUCUGGUCCUCGAGCGUAUGGGGCUUUGUCACCCGCUCCCGUAGGUCCAGCUGGCAGCUAGCCUCGCAACCAAUCUUUUUAACCAGGUUGACCUCGGAUCAGGUAUGGAUACCCUCUGAACUUAAGC